This 408-nucleotide ribosomal RNA is filed under the name uncultured bacterium. RNAcentral's name for it is "bacterial SSU rRNA". It matches the Rfam family "Bacterial small subunit ribosomal RNA", at positions 28 to 429 of the family's 1533-position model. The record is from RNAcentral.
GAUGAACGCUAGCGGCAGGCUUAAUACAUGCAAGUCGAGGGGCAGCAGGUCUGUAGCAAUACAGAUGCUGGCGACCGGCAAACGGGUGCGGAACACGUACAGAACCUUCCUUUAAGUGGGAGAUAGCCCAGGGAAACUUGGAGUAAUAUCCCGUAAGAUUGAGAAGUGGCAUCACUUUCUAAUUAUAGAUUUAUCGCUUAAAGAUGGCUGUGCGGCUGAUUAGGUAGUUGGCGGGGUAACGGCCCACCAAGCCCACGAUCAGUAACUGGUGUGAGAGCACGACCAGUCACACGGGCACUGAGACACGGUCCAGACUCCUACGGGAGGCAGCAGUGGGGAAUAUUGCACAAUGGGGGAAACCCUGAUGCAGCAACGCCGCGUGAGCGACGAAGGCCUUCGGGUCGUAAA